AGAGUUUGAUCCUGGCUCAGGACGAACGCUGGCGGCGUGCCUAACACAUGCAAGUCGAGCGGGGAGAGAUUUUCGGAUUUCUCUUUAGCGGCGGACGGGUGAGUAACACGUGGGUAACCUGCCUCAAAGUGGGGGAUAGCCUUCCGAAAGGAAGAUUAAUACCGCAUAAUAUCAGAGCGCUGCAUGGCGCUGUGAUUAAAGGAGCAAUCCGCUUUGAGAUGGACCCGCGGCGCAUUAGCUAGUUGGUGAGGUAACGGCCCACCAAGGCGACGAUGCGUAGCCGACCUGAGAGGGUGAUCGGCCACAUUGGAACUGAGACACGGUCCAGACUCCUACGGGAGGCAGCAGUGGGGAAUAUUGCACAAUGGGGGAAACCCUGAUGCAGCAACGCCGCGUGAGUGAUGAAGGCCUUCGGGUCGUAAAGCUCUUUGAUCAGGGACGAUAAUGACGGUACCUGAAAAACAAGCCACGGCUAACUACGUGCCAGCAGCCGCGGUAAUACGUAGGUGGCGAGCGUUGUCCGGAUUUACUGGGCGUAAAGAAUGCGUAGGUGGAUAUUUAAGUGGGAUGUGAAAUCCCCGGGCUCAACCCGGGAACUGCAUACCAAACUGGAUAUCUGGAGUGCAGGAGAGGAAAGCGGAAUUCCUAGUGUAGCGGUGAAAUGCGUAGAUAUUAGGAGGAACACCAGUGGCGAAGGCGGCUUUCUGGACUGUAACUGACACUGAGGCAUGAAAGCGUGGGGAGCAAACAGGAUUAGAUACCCUGGUAGUCCACGCCGUAAACUAUGGGUACUAGGUGUAGGGGGUAUCGACUCCCCCUGUGCCGUCGUUAACACAAUAAGUACCCCGCCUGGGGAGUACGGUCGCAAGACUAAAACUCAAAGGAAUUGACGG
Molecule: ribosomal RNA, 893 nt
Filed under: methanogenic prokaryote enrichment culture B31_1_35
Description: bacterial SSU rRNA
Rfam family: Bacterial small subunit ribosomal RNA
Source: RNAcentral